RNAcentral lists this ribosomal RNA (377 nucleotides) under uncultured bacterium. Its description in RNAcentral is "bacterial SSU rRNA". It matches the Rfam family "Bacterial small subunit ribosomal RNA", at positions 523 to 898 of the family's 1533-position model. The record is from RNAcentral.
AUACGUAGGUGGCGAGCGUUAUCCGGAAUUACUGGGCGUAAAGGGCACGCAGGCGGCCUAUCAAGUCUGACGUGAAAGCUCCUGGCUUAACUGGGAGAGGUCGUUGGAAACUGAGAGGCUUGAGGCGAUGAGAGGGGUGCGGAAUUCCCGGUGUAGUGGUGGAAUGCGUAGAUAUCGGGAGGAACACCAGUGGCGAAAGCGGCGCCCUAGCAUCGGCCUGACGCUCAUGUGCGAAAGCGUGGGGAGCGAACGGGAUUAGAUACCCCGGUAGUCCACGCUGUAAACGAUGAGCACUAGGUGUAGGCGGUGUCAAAGCUGUCGGUGCCGAAGCAAACGCGAUAAGUGCUCCGCCUGGGGAGUACGGCCGCAAGGCUAAA